CCCCUCCACCCAUGGAAACUAUUCAACCCCCUAUGGGAAAUAAAGCAAUUGUAUAAUUGAUUUGCCCAUGGAUGUUGGAUUGGAUCAUGGAAGCUGAGAUUGAUCUAUUGAUCUGCCAUCGACUGGACCAUGGAAACAGUUGAGAUUCAAAGGCUGGAGGAGAAGAUAGAUUCAAUCAUGGUAGUUUGAAUCUAUGUGAUCUCUAUAUCAGAUCGGACUGGCAAUUAUGGCAUAAAUAGAGGUCAAACGCUGGAGAAGAAGAUGACCAGGGAGAAGAUAAGUUGGAUCGUGUUAGUUUGUAUGUGUGUGAUUUAGCUUGAUUACUUCCGAGCUGAGCAGCAUAGGGAGGAGAUGAAAAUAUAUGGCAGGAUACUCUCACGUACAGAAGCUAGAAGGCCGUUGGAUCAAUUCUGCAAGAAGACACAGGCUAUUGGAUCGACUCUGCCGGAAGGCGUGGGUAUAUAUGAUGAUAAUCCCUUUGAUCCAUUCCAAAAAAUACAGGUACACAAAGAUCCAUUUUUUUGCCACACUAUAUUAGUAUCGGCUUGCAUAUUCUAUAGAGUUGCCACAAUGAGCAGUUUUGAGGUGCUGGCUCAUGGUGUCCAAUCUUAGACACUAUGAAGUCUCAGGUGCAUGCCAUCUAUUCCCUCAGGGAUCGGAAAGGAAGUCUGAGUUGAAAAUACGUAUAAAGAUCCAUACAUGGAGGUCUUCGAAGACUCAAAAGCAGACAACGAUUAUGGCUGGCAGAAGAUUAGACUGACAAGCCAACUUGAGUUCCCCAAAGUCCCAUAGGGUGUUGUAUAGCGUCGGACGUAUUGCAGAUGCUAAAGAGUUGCGAUGAUGAGUGGUACCCGAUGCAGGCCCAUGGCACCCAAUCUCAGAGGCCGUGAAUGGCAUCUAUUCCCUCUGGCGAUGGACAUGAAGUCUCAAUAGAAUACCAAGAUCCCAGGGCGGCCCGGGUGGCGGCGCCCCCUCCCCCGGCAACCCAUCCUCCCUCUCUUUCCCCCCUCCCCGCCGCCGCCAAUAGCCCCCGCCGGGCGAAGCCCGCGCGGAUCUGGCGGCGGCGGGCUGCCAUUUCCCGUGUGGCGCGUUCACGGGCUGGGGGAGCCCCGUGUGGCGGCGACCGGCGUGGCGUGACUCCGGCGCGCAGCGGUUCAUCCGGUGGAGGCUGGGGACGGUGGUGUGGAGGCGCUCGCUGCUCUCUCCCGGUGGCCUGCUCCGAAUCGACGGCGUCCCCCUGUCGGUGGGCGUCGGGGUGAGGCUGAGGGUCGACGAGAUGCGAUCCGGCGAAGGUGUUCUCUGUGAGGCGCGCGUGGUGGUGCUCGCCCUCCCCCUCUCUGCGUGAUCUGCAGGCGCUCGGCGUGCCUGCCGGCACGUUCCUGGUGGGGGCGGCGUGGGCAGGCUGGAUCCGGCUGGAUUUGGCCUGCGGUGGACCGGAUCUGGUCAUGUGUGGCGGCGGGCUGCAGUGGACCUUGCUCUGCGGUGGUGCAUGAAGCAGAGUAUCGCGGUGUACCGGUGCUCCUCGAAGGUGGUCUGCUCACUUGGGUGAAAGCCUCUGCUCCGACCGGAGCCGGCGAUGGCGGCGCCCGCGGGUGUCGCUUACCUCCUUGGAGGCGUCGCUGUCAAGGUGACUUUCCCUUCGAAGCUCCAGGGGAAACCCUUGUUCCUGGUUCUUCCGAAACGGGCGAUGGCGGCGCAUUUUUGUGUCGCAAUCCUUCUUAAAGGCAUCGUUUUGGUGGAUUUGUGUGGUCGCUGCUUUCUGCGGGUCGGAUGGUGGUGGUGGUGCGACUGGCUGGGGUCGACGGUGGUGUGGUCGGUGUCGGUGAGGAGGUGCUGCUUUGCUCAUGUCUUCUAGGCUUGACCAUUCAUUGGAGUGGUUUGAUUCUUCCAUCAGAAGCCGGGUUAGCGGGGUGGGAUCCUCUCUGGACCACCUCGUUCCUGUACGACACCUCUCCCCUCUACGGGGUGUUGUUGGGUGGCGACCAGACGACCAACGUUCAAGGCUCUCCUUGAUUGGUCAGAUGAAGAUGGAAGUUGAGACCUCAGGGGAAACCCCUAGCACAGGUCCUCCUGGUGCGGAUGAUGGCGGCGCAACCGACGUCGCGGCCCUUGUUGAAGGCAUCAUCUCGGGGUCUGCUUGGUUGACGUGUGGGUGCUGCUGCAGGGAUGUUGGUGGUGGUGGUGCGACCGGAUGGGUCGACGAUGGUAUGUGGUCGUCUGUGGUGGUGUUUGUCAGUGUCGCCCCUGUUGCUGUGCAUGCUCAAGACCUCCAUGGCUGCCAUUGUGGUGCGGCGAGCUUCGUGCUCUUGGCGUUGUCCCGGUUCAUCUUUGCUCAAUGAUGCCACAAGUUUCCUCCCCAACUUGCUAAUCGUUUCCGAUUCUUCAUGGCGGAGUUCCCCGUCAAGGUUCGUGCUAGUCACUCGUUGAUGUGGAUGCUCCUCUGUUGCGCAGUGGUGCUCGGUACGCACGCCAGUUUGGUGCGUUAGGCCGCUUGUCAAGUCUUGGUAUUGUGACCCCUCGAUGACUCCCCUCAUCAACUUGUGCCUCUUGUGGUGAUGUUCUUCGGGUUGCUAGCUAGGCGUGCCCUGUCUUGGGCGUCUUUUGUUUUGGUUUCUCUUCUUUUACCCUCUCUUGUUCGGUUUUCGGCCCGGUUUUCCUCAUAAAUAGGGUCUAAUUGUCUUGGUUUUCGAUCCAAUUUUCCUUAUAAACCGGAUCAAUAUCUUGGCUUUAAGGCCACUUUGAAAUAUAUUCAGGUGGGGAGCCUUUCCCCCCCGGUGACCAUUUCAAAAAAAAAAUAGAAUACCAAGAUGAAGAGUCAUACAGGGAAGUUUCCAAUGAAUCAGAAGCAGUCAACGAUCAUGGCUAUAGUAGAUUGGGACGACAAGAUUGAUCAAAAAAAGCUUUUUUAUUUGUUUCGGCUAACUAACUAUAUAUGUAUAGGAUUUUACCAAUAAUUAUGCAAUUAGAUUUAUGUUUACUGAAUCAGCUACUAGGAGGUUGCUUUAUUUCUGUAAAAAAUAGAGAUGCCUUUUCCUGAUAUGAAUGUGUCUCUAUCAGCUUUACUAGAUAUACUCGAAAUCGACAAAGCCGCCAUCCUGUGAUUUUUCGUAGCAGAUUUUAAUAUCUACAAGUUCAUCAUGACUGGAAGUUUCUUAUAUCAUGAUUUGCAUUAGGUUGAAUUUGUAAAUCUAGAGGUUCAUCAGGAUCAGGGCACUUCCCUAGGCACAUUGUAGCUUCGAUCAGGGAAGUACAUUAAAACCAAGAUGCCUUCCGCAGCCUCAGCUACAGUGCGAAGACAUGUUUCUUUGGGUGCAUCGCACUUCUGAUGUAAAAAACUCUUGCUUUGCGACCUGUUCAUUGUUUUUACUUCUAGCAUACAUUUUCCUUCCAACCAGUUUUUUUCAUGUACAAUGACUCCUCGACUAACGAACUCACAUUGUGGCAAUUUUUCGAUGGUGAUAUUGCGUGGCUAAUGCUUCUGAUUGAACCGCUAUAUACCUUCCUCUUCGCUCUGAUAGACGGGACUUUAUGCACAGCAAAUGCACUAUUAUCUUGCCCCUAAUACUGUAAUUACAUACUAUAUUUUCUAGCGAAUAAGAAUGUCAUAUUAUUUCAGUUAUAUCAUCUAAUUACUUUUUCUAUGAACACUCCAGUAAUUUGUUAUCUCAGUGGGCACACUUUAUAGUUCUUGGCCAUGUUAAUAAUUCCGUGCAUUGUUUAAUUCGCCUACAUUCAUACAUUAUUGUUUCGGAUGCCAAAGUGGAAUUCAGGUUAGUAUUUUUUAUCAUCCUAUUUAGUCAAAUUUUGGUCAGGUAUUCUAUCAUGCAACUAUACAUAUUACUAGGUACAAACUGUUGCUCUUUUGCAAGCUCUCUCAACUGCUCAAAAUUGGGGAUAGUUGGUCAACUAGUAUUUUAUUUGCCAAUUUACCAUUUUGUUUUUGUUCAAAAUACGUUGGAGUGCUACUUUGAUUGGAUGGGAAUCAAAGCGCACAAGGAGCCUACACAAUUAGGAUAAUUCCUAUGCAAUGCGAAUUAAUUAUGAGAACUAAUGGAACUAAUGAGGUGGUAAUGACUAAAGUUUGUGAUGGUGCAAUGUGUUAGAUGGAGUUUCAAGCACACAAACAACUGCAAGUGUCUCCUAGGAUGUUAGAGUUGUUUCCUUCUCACUUCGCACAAAUAACAUCAAACAUAGCUUAUGUUUGAUAAACUAAUUAAUGACAUAUUUUUUCUGGAUAAAAUCCAAUUUUAUUGCUUAAUUGUCGCUUCCAUUUUCUUUGUAAUAAUAUGAACUCGGAACCAUCUAUAUUGUUUAAAAUGGAAAAAAAAUAUUACACUACCAGUACAUCUUGACAUGAGGUUUUCACUGUUUUCAUACUAGGAUAUUCUGUUUGCCUAUUUUAAGGCAUAGGUCUCCCUGUUUUAAAUUUUUGUUUCAAAAAUUACAAUAUAUCAUUGUUUUAAAUUGCUUUCUUGACCUCAUUGGGAGUCUGGGAGAUGAUAUCCUCGGCUGCUUAAGCCUUAGUACUUAGUGCUAUAAAUUAUCAGAUGAAAUCCUUGACUGCUUUCGUCGUGAAAUGAAUUCCCAGUUCUACAAAAAGGUGAAAAAACAGAAUGUAAAUUACAAAAUUCCACGGGAAAAGGGAUGUACAUAUGUCACCUAAAGUUGUUUGAAUAGUUGGAUGGUUGUUGCGAGUUAAGUAAUAGAUAUUUGUUUACGCAUUCCAGCGUCAGACAUGUAAGCAUUUUUAAUAAUGCGACUUCAUCAAUGAUUCUUCUUAUGGAGUUAUUUUGAAAUUAAUUCAAAAAAUAGAAUCCAAUGAUAAAUUAUUUUCUUAAAGUAUCUUACAAGUUAAGAAUCUCAUAUAAAUCAUGCAUGCGUAGUAAAUACAAGGCAACACAAAUGGCAAGAAUAAUUAUGUUAUGCAAAAUCUCAAAGACAAGCCCAUGCGGAUGCAAGGGUUGACGACUAGUACUCUCUAAAGUACUAAAACUGACGACUACAUUCCUGCAUAUUUAGAUAUAUAAAACUAACUACUAAAGUAUUAAAACUGACGGUUCUAAUCCAAACUGGAAGUAUUGCCUACAGAAAUUCAGAACCUUGGUAGGUGUUGAUGAUUCAGACCUUAGUUACUUCGGACUUCAGAAUUGCAUUUGUGCAGCUAUUCUCUAGGAGAAGUCGUGCAAUACAAACAUAUUAAUAAGGUUCUUCUUGAAUACGCAACAAACAACUACGUCAGACAAAGAUCUGGAGUACCUGCUCAUAUCUGGUGAGCGGGUAGUCUCUUGCCCCAAACGCCCAAGCUCCUGGUGAUAUCCUACUCCACUCGGUUUCUUCUUCUUCCAUGCCUACACAGCUCUAGCUUUUUUUUAGUUUAGCCCGUCUAAAUUUCUAUCAUAUAAAAUCUUAUGAAACAAUGUGCUACUAUUCUUAUUAUUGAACUAUGUCAAUCUGUUUUUUUUUAAGUGGGGGAGUGAUGAAUCGAACAAGGAGGAAGGCCGACGUGUUUGUUCUUCAACCAUUUCCCACUGAAACCCUGAAAAUUGGGGGGAAUCAUGGCUGGAGCAUAUGUGAACUUGGCCUCCGGUCAUUGAGUCAGGUUUCUAGUUUUGCUUGGGAGAGUAGCAUGUGCUUCCCAUUUGUUUAAUUAAAUAAUUGGUAUCUAAUUCAUGUGAACCAGAUCGUGCUUGGGAGAGUAGCAUGUGUUUGAUUUAGUUACAUACAUAGACCUUUUGAACAUUUGGCUUGGCUGUUUGGAUCUGCUUUUAUGCAGGGAGACUGUAUUCCAACCAUAAAACUGAUACAACGGCCACACUAAUAUGACCGCUGUACUUUCAAAUCGACCAUCUGAUUAUUCAGGAGAUAUGUAUCAAAGGACCUCUAUGUUCCCUAUCAUGUGUAUUUAACAAGUAAAUAUUCAGCUAUUCUCGAUUUAUCUUGCUAAUGACCAUUUGUACCUUUUCAUUUAUUUUUGCUUAUCCAUUUGUUUUGUAUAAUAUAUGCAUGUUGUAGAAUAAUGAUGAGCUGAAAAUUGACACCAUUCACAGAGCUAGACGAAGCUUAUGAAUGUAGCAUGGGAACACAUAGUUGACUUAAAUUAAUAUUGUGCUUGCUUAUAUGAACCAUUUAUUCACAAGGAUUAUCUUGUGGUGUGUAGGCAGUGCGACUGUAUGUUACAAGGUUGUAUCAUUUGUACAACACACAUAAUGAUAUAAGCUCGUGGUGUUAGUACUAGACAUUCUUUUGUUAUUUUUACUUAAUUCCUUGGGUAUACUAUACUGCAUUUUGUCUCCUAAUAAAUGUCAAGAAAGAAAAACCUUGCUUGGAUUAUCGUAUGGGUUGUAAGAAAAAUAUGUGAAUGCAUUAGGAACUGUAUACAUAUAGGUAUGAUGCAACUCUUUUGAAUCUAGAGAUUGUAUGACACAUGCCUCAUAUUUGUAUGGGACUGUACACCUGAUCUCCUAAAAGUAUUAUGUACUGCAGAGAUUUUUAUUUCUUUUCAGUUUGCCUUGGUUGUUAUUUAUGCCUAUAGCUUCAUGUAGAAUGUAUGGGAUUGUAUUUCAGGCACCUUUUUCAAUUGUUAGUUGAGGUGCUUCUGAUUUUCUGAAUGAAUACAUAGGUAGUCUUGAAGAUGCUCUGUUCUUAUUUUUCAAAUCUUUACUUUGCUUAUUGUCCUUAUUCUGGUUCUCCUUGGCAUCUUUCUAUCAGUGGAGGGCCUUGUUUUCAAAUAGCAGGGAUGGAGGGACAAAAAAGAUGUCUAGCUUGCAUGUGUGCUGUAACAUUAAUCAGUGCAUUGGGCCCAACGUUUUCUAUCAUUUGAACCUUGAUGAUUUAUCUCAUUUGAACAUAAUCUAACCCCUCUAAUUUUUGUCAGUACAUGAUUGUACACCUCCUAUUCCCGCUUAAUUGUGUGUUCAUUUUGUUAAUCAAGAAGCAUCUGAUUUUAUGGCUGGGUACGUUGAAAAUAUAUAAAACCUUUCUUCUUUUGGAUAAUUUGUUUCCUUUUGACCAAUCUUUGUUACUUGCGUACACAUCUGUGCAUAGCGUGCUGCUCCAGCGCGACUGCUUCGUGUGCUGCCUCGAGUCGCGCCGCCACUAUGCCUGCGCCAAGACGGAGGCCGCUGCCACUCUCGACGCCCUUUGCUGCGCGCUCUCGCCGGCGGCGUUCACAAAGCCUUGUCGCGGCGCUGCAAGUGUUGCCCCCCCUCCUCCCCAAGGGCAAGGUGAAGGAAGGUGCCUGUGUGGUUUUUUUGCACCUUGCAGCGAGGAUUGUUGUAUCCAACCUGCGCAAAAAUGCCAAGAAGUCCUUCUCGGAGACAUAAGCCACGGCGCAUGUUUCUGCCAUGAUUUUCUUCGGUUGGAUUUCGUAGAUUUAAGUGUUGAAAAAUUAUGGACUGUGGAUACAGGAUUAAGGACAUGUACCCGCACUACAACGAGAGAUCUGGACUGCUUCUUUGUGGCUUUCAAACUUGAAAUGUUUGUUUGGAAGUUGGUUUAGUUUUU
Molecule: long non-coding RNA, 7503 nt
Organism: Triticum aestivum (bread wheat)
Lineage: Eukaryota; Viridiplantae; Streptophyta; Magnoliopsida; Poales; Poaceae
Exons: 3
Source: RefSeq, a predicted model, not a curated record